RNAcentral lists this long non-coding RNA (522 nucleotides) under Rattus norvegicus (Norway rat). Its description in RNAcentral is "long non-coding RNA NONRATT028397". The record is from RNAcentral. Lineage: Eukaryota; Metazoa; Chordata; Mammalia; Rodentia; Muridae.
GCCUGUCCUCACUGGUAUCUGCGAUUUUUCUGUUUGUUUGAGACAAGAUCUCACUAUGUAUCCCUGGCUGGCCAAGAAUGCACAAUGCAAACAGACUGGCCUCAGUCUCAGAUCUGCCUGCCUCUGCCUCCCCAGCGCAGUGCAUCAGCACGCCCGUAGACUGCUGCCGUGUGCUGUCAUGUGAACACGUCCAUUGCUGGUUCUCUAGGCUCUUUCAGGUAUACCCUGUGUUAGUGCCAUGGCAUCCUUUCAAAAGCUUUAAUGCCCUGCGGGCCAGUUCUUCCCACCCGUCUUGUUCAUCGUCUAAAUCAUUCUGCCUUUUCUUAAUUCUUACCUUUCUUUCUGUGUUGUUUAUUCAUAUACUUCCAGGUUCCGGGGAAAGUGUAUUUUUCUUGGAGUUGUAUUCAGUUAUGGAUUUGACUAGGAAGAAGAGGUACUCUCGUGAUAAAGCCUUCCUAUUCAUAAGGGAGCAUCACCACUUAGGUCCUUAAAUGUAUUUCAGUAAAUUUGAAUAAUACUUUU